Molecule: RNA transcript, 5919 nt
Organism: Solenopsis invicta (red fire ant)
Lineage: Eukaryota; Metazoa; Arthropoda; Insecta; Hymenoptera; Formicidae
Gene name: osmotic avoidance abnormal protein 3
Exons: 10
Source: RefSeq, a predicted model, not a curated record
CUGAUAUUUUCGUGUUUAAUUGUCUCCCCGUCUGGCCCACAUAGGAAGCAUCGCAGUCAUUGUACAAUAUUUUAUACACGAUGUUCUUUUUAGAGGAGAAAAUCUUUAUGGACUUUGAUAAAAGUGCCGAUUUGUUGAGAUUGUAAAAUACCAAUCCAAAGUCAAUAUUAUUUGUGAUGUCCCUGAAUUUGUUAGAAACUGAAUCAAUAAAGGGGAUCGAAAACCAAUUUUUUGUUUGUUCAGAUUCAGAAUCAUUAAUGAAAUUAUCCUGUUGGGUAUUUCGAUUAUGGAUCAGACUUUUUAAUCUUGUUUUUAUAGUUUUAAAAAUAAAAUCUAACAAAUAGUCAUUACUCAAAAAAAUGUUCACUACUGACUCGAGGUUUUUUUGGUGAAAUUCAGGAUGCGACAAAAAGAAGGUUCUAUCAACCAUGCCCAUGAUAACACCACUCUUUUGUAAGAGCGGAUGCUGAAUGGAUUGAACUGUAUUAUGUCCGAAUCUGUAAAAGUAGCAGUAAGAUGUCGACCUAUAUCUCAAAAGGAAUUGCAGCAAGGAUGUCAGAAUGUGGUGACGAUCGAUCCGCUGACAAAAUCCUGCACGCUGGAAAAUGUCGCCAAUGGUACUGGAAAAGUCUAUCAAUUUGACGCUGCGUUCGGUCCAUCUGCUACAACAGAAUCAGUCUACGAAAAUGUAGGUUCCGUCAUCGUCGAGGCCGUCUUAGAAGGUUACAAUGGUACUGUGUUUGCUUAUGGUCAAACUGGAUGCGGAAAAUCAUUCACAAUGCGAGGAUUUGUCGAACGUACAUUGGAACACUUAUUUGAGGCUACUUCUACCGCCAGUUCAGAAACAAGAUAUUUAGCAUUGCUGAGUUAUCUCGAAAUCUAUAAUGAACGAUUACGAGACUUGUUACGAGACGACACUGGGGAAUCCCUGACAUUAAAAGAGGAUCCGACGAAAGGUACUUACGUCGCAGGUGGACUGCGCGAGGUCACUGUCAAAGACGCAACCGAAUGUGCAGCACUAGUUCAACAGGGCGAUCAAAGAAGAGUAGCAGCCGCUACGAAAAUGAACGCUGCCAGUUCGAGAAGUCAUGCUGUCUUAACUUUGUCACUCGAAGCAAUUGCAAUCAACGACGAUGAUAAACGUGGCAAUGCUAUUAGGAGAGGUCGAUUGCAUUUAGUUGAUCUAGCUGGAUCUGAAAGACAAACCAGAACUGGAGCUACAGGAGAUCGCUUAAAAGAAGCUGCUAGUAUCAAUCUGAGUUUAUCGGCAUUGGGGAAUGUUAUUAGUGCAUUAGCUGCCGGAAAUGGAAGACAUGUUCCUUAUAGGGAUAGUAAACUUACAAGACUGCUACGAGAUAGCUUGGGUGGAAAUGCUAGGACUUUGAUGAUAGCCUGCGUGAGCCCAAGCGACAUUGAUGCUGAAGAGACGCUCAGCACUUUGCGUUAUGCUGCUCGAGCUCGUUGCAUUAAAAAUAAACCCAUUGUCAAUGAAGAUCCCAAAGAUGCUCUUCUUAGGCAAUACCAAUUAGAACUUCAACGUUUAAAAAAAUUGCUCGACUCUAGCGACGUAUUAAAUGUUGAAUUGGACUUCCAGAAGAAUGUAGAGGAAGACAAGAAGAAUUUAAGAGAGAAACAAUAUUCUGACGAGGUGGAAAGGCUAAGGAAAGAAUGCGAAAAUUCAAAUUUGUCAGCUCAGAAACUAAAAGAGGAGCUAGAAGCCCUAAAAUUUCGUUACGAAUCAGGAUUAAAUGUGAUGAACAAUACUAAUAAAAAUCUUAAUCAAGAAAAUCAGAUUAAUGAGUUGGAUAAGGAACGAAUAGAGAAAAGAAGAAAAAAACGAGAUGCAGCUCUACAAGAUGUUUUAAAAAGAUUAGAAAAACUGACAAUCGGUGGAGAAGAAAUUGGUAAUACAGAAUUGAAAAAAAGAAGAGAGAAGAGAAGGAGGAAACUGGAAGCUCUUGUAGGAGCAUUGGGAGACAAUGAUGCUAAUGGUAGUGUUUUCCAAGUAUACGGUCAACUAAGGUCGACAGAAGAUGCAUUAAAGAAAAUGGCGAAACGAGUAAAACAAUUGGAAGCUGAGGCAGUGGAUCUCCAGGCAUCUUGGGAUGCCGAACGUCGCGAGCUUCUUCGAAGAGAAUUAUUAACGUCCCAAUUGUGCGACCUCAUGAUUCCUUAUCUUCGACCUGGCUGUCCUUUUCGAGAUAUUACUGCGGUGAGGGAAGCGGCGACCUGGUGCGAUGAAUUAGGACGAUGGCGCUUGCCGGAUGUGUCCCCUCACAUACCUCUUCCUCCUGCCGCUUCUGCGGCGCGGGUAGAUAUUCUUUACCCCACCAGUAUUUCCUCCAAAGCGGAUCAUAAUAACAAUAGCAAUAAUAGUAGCAAUGAUGAGAAUGAGAGUGAUCAAGACAACGACGAAGAAGAUAGCAAACAAAGUAUAGAGAGAAAAAAGGGUUGGAAUAUUGUGAACUCUUAUUUCCAGAGAAGCAGAAGAGUGGAUACUCUUCUGGCACACGCAAGAGAAGCAAAGACUUUCGAGCCAAAUCGAUUGAGCAGAUCAGGAGGCUCGGAAGACUUGGGACCGAUUGCAAGUGGCAGUGGCUAUUUGCAGUUAAACGCGCUAAAUCUGCAAAGUAGCGCGCCGAUGCUUGGUGAAAGUAGUUACAGUACGAAUCAGUGCAGAUCGACAAUGCGCGCUGGCUGGGUUUAUGAUGAGCAACUUAAACGGCCUAUGUAUAAUUCUUUCAUUACUGUAAAGAAACCACCUCCAAGAAUAUUAGAAGCCUUACCCUCGCAUGAUGGUAGACUAUUCGAGUCGCCUGUUCAUCUCAAAGAGAUGGAGUUGAAAGAUUUCUUUAGGGUUACUGGACAUUAGGGUUACUGGAAAGGCGCGUUUAAUUCUCUGAUGCGAUCUACGCCCGAAAUGUUGAAUGUCACCUUUAGCAGUUCGUCAAUGGAUAUCAAAGGAAAAAUGCAUUACGCAUUCCACUAAUUUCCGGGAAAGGAUCGGUGAUUAUGUGGGACUAGGUGUGAACUUUAAUAUCUCCCCCGCUAACCACCAAGAAGCCCCUUUUUUUUAAAUGAGGAGUAAAAAUACCAAAUACCAUUUAUGGACAGCCUUGGGAACCUGUUAGAACUCAGGGAUGAUGCAGGACUCAGGAGAAACCCCAGUAAAAAAUUUUUUCGGUAGACUCUAAACUCUAGAGAGAGGUCGCCCCAAGACCGCUGGUGAACAUUAUUUCAGGGCAACCCCCUGAAUCCGGAUCUAACGACAGCAAAGAGGAAAAAGGCACUGCCGCUCUGCCCCUCCCCCUGCACUCCCUCACUCAUUUUUUCUAACCUAAUCUACCCCGUCUCAGUGAAUCCACUAAUAACGUGGUGAAUGCGGGAAAGGGUGGGCCAUAAUUGUUAGAUUGAACGAACUUACCUGUGAAGUUCGAUCCUAAUUAUGCCCGUUGUCUCGUCCGGAUGAAAAUUAAUAACUGUGUAGUCGUGCCCCUACACCGGACAACAGCAUUCAAAAAACACUUUGAAAACAAAAUGGGUAGCGCGCCUAGUACGGCCUAGGCGCUGCGCGCGCCUUGCCAUCUCAUGAGUUCAAAUAAUGAGGCAAAUCACUAGAUCUAGGGAAGGGAGAUUCAAGGGUGGGGAGUCCAUCCGGACGAGACGGGCAUAAUUAGGAUCGACUUUCACAGGUAAGUUCGUUCAAUCUAACAAUUAUGCCCUUAUGUCUCGUCCGGAUGAAAAUUAAUAACUGUGUAGUUGUUUAAAGCGGUGAUUUGCCUUAGAAAGAAUUUGUCUCUGACGCCGGAAUUAAAACUGGUGAAGAAACUAGCUGUAUUUUUAAAAUUUUCUAAACUUAUAUAAAACAUAAAAAGAUGUUACAAGUUGGAAUGUAAAAUCAAAUAUUGAAAACAAUAGUGAUAUAUAUAUAUAUAUACAUAUAUAUAUAUAUAUAUAUAUAUAUAUAUAUAUAUAUAUAUAUAUAUAAAAUCGCAUGUAGAUGGUCGUAAUUUUUUUGUUCUCUCCAUAUAGCAUUUCAUGAGCCGAACUAUGCAGAGAUCUUCAUGAUCAUUGAACCGAGAGAAAGAGAAAAGUGGCUGACAGCGACCUGGAGCCGAUGUCUUAAUCCGGUCUGGGAUCCGGAUAAUUAACUUUUCCUUCACCGAAAUUUGUGAUAUCCUUAGGGAAGCAAGCGUUUGAGCUCUGUGGCCCGUUGCAAGAGCUAGAAGAAGAACCAACUUCUUGGAGAUGACCUUUAGAGAAGCUGAAUCAUAUGGAUAGAUGGCUGCCAACUUAGAUAUUACUGGUGCCGGGUCCAAUACAUAGUCAUACCGCGGUCGCGGUGGUUUCAGUGCUGCAAUCUCUUUGUAGAAGCGUCUAAUCAUAGGAUAAUUGCCAAUCUCGUUGUUAGAGAUCAAUGAAACUGCAGAUCUCAUGGUAUUUAAGCUCGAAUAGGACGAAACCCUAGGCAAUUCCUGUGCUAAAAAAUCCAACAUUUGUGGGACGGAUGGAAAGUAUAAAGGUAGCUGGUGAUGCUGGCAAAAGUUCCACCAAGAGCGUAGAGAACCCGAGUAUUGCUUAAUUGUCGCAUUUGAUAGAGAAGCAAGUAGAGCUGGAAGAGCUGUUGGGGGUGCUAAACGAUUCUUGAAUGCUUCCCGGAUAACUUCCCGACCCCCAGGGAAAGUGUUUCCGACGCUGUAUAGUGAUCCCUGAAAGGAGAUGAGGGAAGAGCGUGAUUAGGAGCAAGAAUCAAGGAGCUCUGAUAUCAGGAGACGAUUGAACAGCGGGAACCAGGCCUGCGAAGGCCACCAGGGCACUACUAUGGUGCCCGUUGCUCCAUCGUCUACUAUCUUCCUUAAGACUCGAGGCAGCAGAAUAAACGGAGAAAACGCAUAAAAAUCUAACUCCUCCCAUGAGAGGGUGAAAGAAUCUAUGGCGAUUGAACCGAGAUCUGGAAACCAAGAUACGUAAGCAUCGCACUUGUUAUUGAUCGAAGAUGCAAAAAGGUCUAUUUGAAAAGGCCCGAAGAUCUUAAAAAUGCGGCUAAAUGCCGUCUCGGACAAAGACCACUCCGUGUUCGGGUCUACGGUUCGAGAUUCAGCGUCUGCGAUAAUAUUAUCUAAAGACGCUAUGUAGGAGGCGAAAAUAAAGAUAUUUCGCUCUUCACACAAGCCAUAUUUGUCUUGAUAUAGCUGAAAGGUGGGGAAAUUGGAUGGAUCCGAACCUAUUAAUAUAGGCUAUUAAUAAGCCGGUUGUAUUGUCUAUCCUCAGGAGGAUAUCACAAUCACGGAGAUCAGCUGCAAAGCAUCGUAAGCCGUUAAAAGCUGCCUUGAGCUCUAAAGUGUUGAUAUGUAGGAAUUUAUCCGAGUCGGACCACCAUCCAUGCGUACGUUUCGCACCACAGGAUGCGCCCCAACUACUCAUUGAGGCGUCUGAAAAGAUCUCGCGACUGAAAUUGCCUGAACGAAUUUUAUUAGACUGGUGUACGUUAGAAAAAAUAUUAAUCCAAAGUCUUCCUGAAGAAGUAGAGGAAUAUCAAUGCUCGCUGAAUAGUCGCCUCCACUCUCUAUAAGGGCCAAAAAUUUUACUCUUUCCAUCGCUUUUGUAUACAGAAGACCGUAUUGAACUGCUGGACAGACCGAGAUGAGUGAACCAAUUAAACUGGCGAACUCUCUUAUAGAACAUCUUGAUUUGCGAGCCAGGAUUUUUGUCAGGCUUAAUAAUUUUGCUUGAUGGUCUGGUGGAAUCGAGAUAGAUUGUUCGUUAGGGUAAAAUAUAAAUCCUAAGUACUUGCGUUUAGAAAAUGGUUCUAGGAAAGUUUUAGAGAAAUUAAUUACAAAUCCUAAAGAUUGAAGGAAAUUUAUAGAAAAGAUAACAUUAGACCGACAUUUGACACUGGAUGAACCUAAAAGAAGAAAA